This 1329-nucleotide unclassified non-coding RNA is filed under the name Hevea brasiliensis (rubber tree). Lineage: Eukaryota; Viridiplantae; Streptophyta; Magnoliopsida; Malpighiales; Euphorbiaceae. The record is from RNAcentral.
CCACUCUUAUAAUUAUUCAUCCACCAACCAACCAACUCCCUGUUUUCACAAAUCUUUUCUUUCUAUUGACAAUCCGGUGGAUUUGCAGAUAGGGCAAGUGUUCUUCACAACCAACCACUUCUUUACGCAUUCUGCAUGAUAUUCGUGCCCGCAAUCAAGAGUUCCUAUAGUUUCUUGCUUGUUGUAGUCAGUCUGGCAUAUGACACAGAAAUCAGCUUCGUGAUCCAAACAUGCAGCAGUUUCCAGGGUGCAAGGAAUAACGGGGGGCGAAAAUGAUCUUGUUUUCAAGCGGUUAACGAUUAUUUCAUCUGACAAUCCAGUUGUUACAUUGCCAAUCUGCUCCCCCAGUGCAAGAAGCUCCUCGUAGGACAUGUGAUCUACGUCUAAACGCAUAUCUCUGUGCUGAUCAAUGGGAUUGUUAACUUCAUGGUAGCCCGAAACAUCCAGCAUUGCCACUCCGUCUUCUGGCAGAACUCUCAUGUUAGGAAGGUUCUGAUGUCUAGUAUUUCUUUCAAGCACGAUAGCCCUUCGAUGAGGUCGAUACAACCCAAAGCCAGUUGGAAGGGAGGGCAUAUAUCUGGGUCCUGCCUCUACAACGCCUUGCAUUAGGUUCGUGGUGAUAUUGGACGAAUUAUUUGGUAGGUGUCUGUGUGAGGAUGAUGCUGUCAUUUGCGGAGGGAAGGAGAUAGGCUGGCCUCUCAUUCCUUGAAUAUUAGGUGGCAGAUGAUGAAGUCCUGGGAGCCCUUGAGGAAUGGGUGGAUGCGGAAAACUAGUCAAACCUCCAUUGCUGGAUGUCAUAUGAUAACCUCGCAAACCCAUGUUUCCAGCAUCUACGCAACCCCCAAUGCCACCAGGUACAUAGGGUAAAGGAGCAGCCUGAUUCCAGGCCCAAGUUUGAGUCUCACUACCAUUGCUGUUGAACUGCUGAUCCAGCCAAGGGUUGCCAGGCAACUGAUGGGUCUGACUUAUAUAGUUUCCUUGAAAUAAAUGAUUGUGGUUAUGUCGUACAAUAUUUUCUGGACCACUAGCACCAGAUCUGUUACUCAUACUUCUCAGUGCUCCAUCUUCAAUGUAUGAUGAUGAAUUGCCUCCAUAAUCUGAUGGUGUAAAUGAUGCAGCAUCCAUUGGAACAUCAGAUUCAUGUGCCCUUGCAAUCAUUGGAGCAACAGAAGAACUGGAACCUGCCAAAGCAUGAUGAUAUUGAAGAUUUGCAGGAAUUCCUUCAGCAUUCUUUCUCUUAUAUGAGCCUCUGACAUCGUCCAUAUAAUGAUUGUUCCUUCCGUAAUCUGAAUUCAUUCCAAAGAUGUUGUGAGAACUUGUAUGAAGCCG